CCUACGGGUGGCAGCAGUGAGGAAUAUUGGACAAUGGACGAGAGUCUGAUCCAGCCAAGUAGCGUGAAGGAUGACUGCCCUCUGGGUUGUAAACUUCUUUUAUAUGGGACUAAAAUGUUCCACGUGUGGGAUUAUGUAUGUACAAUAUGAUUCAGGAUCGGCUAACUCCGUGCCAGCAGCAGCGGUAAUACGGAGGAUCCGAGCGUUAUGCGGAUUUAUUGGGUUUAAAGGGAGCGUAGGUGGAUUGUUAAGUCAGUUGUGAAAGUUUGCGGCGCAACCGUAAAAUUGCAGUUGAUACUGGCAGUCUGGAGUACAGUAGAGGUGGGCGGAAUUCGUGGUGUAGCGGUGAAAUGCUUAGAUAUCACGAAGAACUCCGAUUGCGAAGGCAGCUCACUGGACUGCAACUGACACUGAGGCUCGAAAGUGUGGGUAUCAAACAGGAUUAGAUACCCGUGUAGUC
RNAcentral lists this ribosomal RNA (460 nucleotides) under uncultured bacterium. RNAcentral describes it as "partial 16S ribosomal RNA". It matches the Rfam family "Bacterial small subunit ribosomal RNA", at positions 338 to 795 of the family's 1533-position model. The record is from RNAcentral.